AACGAACGCUGGCGGCAUGCCUAACACAUGCAAGUCGAACGAAACCUUCGGGUCUAGUGGCGCACGGGUUCGUAACGCGUGGGAACCUGCCCUUAGGUUCGGAAUAACUCCCCGAAAGGGGUGCUAAUACCGGAUAAUGUCUUCGGACCAAAGAUUUAUCGCCUUUGGAUGGGCCCGCGUUGGAUUAGCUAGUUGGUAGGGUAAAAGCCUACCAAGGCGACGAUCCAUAGCUGGUUUGAGAGGAUGGUCCGCCACACUGGGAGUGGGACACGGCCCAGACUCCUCCGGAAGGCAGCAAUGCGUAAUAUUGGACACUGGGCGAAAUGCUGAUCCAGCAACGACGCGUAAGUGAUGAAGGCCUUAGGGUUGUAAAGCUCUUUUACCCGGGAUGAUAAUGACAGUACCGGGAGAAUAAGCCCCGGCUAACUACGUG
This 433-nucleotide ribosomal RNA is filed under the name uncultured bacterium. Its description in RNAcentral is "partial 16S ribosomal RNA". It matches the Rfam family "Bacterial small subunit ribosomal RNA", at positions 29 to 507 of the family's 1533-position model. The record is from RNAcentral.